AGUGGGUAGUCCGUAACGAGCGCAACCCCCUAUCCCUGAUAUGCUAGCAGUUCGGCUGAGAACUCUAGGCCCGACUGCCGGAUGACAAACCGGAGGAAGGUGGGGAUGACGUCAGGUCAUCAUGGCCCUUAUGGGGAGGGCUACACACGUGCUACAAUGGCCGGUACAGAGGGCUGCGAAGCCGCGAGGUGGAGCGAAUCUCAGAAAACCGGUCGUAGUCCGGAUUGCAGUCUGCAACUCGACUGCAUGAAGCCGGAAUCGCUAGUAAUCGCGGAUCAGAACGCCGCGGUGAAUACGUUCCCGGGCCUUGUACACACCGCCCGUCACACCAUGGGAGUGGGCUGUACCAGAAGUAGGUAGUCUAACCUUCGGGAGGACGCUUACCACGGUGUGGUUCAUGACUGGGGUGAAGUCGUAACAAGGUAGCCCUAGGGGAACCUGGGGCUGGAUCACCUCCUUU
Molecule: ribosomal RNA, 460 nt
Filed under: uncultured Chromatiales bacterium
Lineage: Bacteria; Pseudomonadati; Pseudomonadota; Gammaproteobacteria; Chromatiales
Description: bacterial SSU rRNA
Rfam family: Bacterial small subunit ribosomal RNA
Source: RNAcentral